CAGCAUGCCNCGGUGAAUACGCUCCCGGGCCUUGUACACACCGCCCGUCACACCAUGGGAGCCGGUAAUACCCGAAGUCAGUAGUCCAACCUCGUGAGGACGCUGCCGAAGGUAGGAUUGGCGACUGGGGUGAAGUCGUAACAAGGUAUC
This 150-nucleotide ribosomal RNA is filed under the name uncultured bacterium. Its description in RNAcentral is "partial 16S ribosomal RNA". It matches the Rfam family "Bacterial small subunit ribosomal RNA", at positions 1350 to 1500 of the family's 1533-position model. The record is from RNAcentral.